Molecule: non-coding RNA, 2184 nt
Organism: Salmo salar (Atlantic salmon)
Lineage: Eukaryota; Metazoa; Chordata; Actinopteri; Salmoniformes; Salmonidae
Source: RefSeq, a predicted model, not a curated record
GACACGCUUGCCUAGAAAACUUAAUAGAGAGGAGAGGGCUGAUCUGAACCAGAUGUUCCUUGCCUAUAUAAACUAAAAUGUAUUUAUGUCUGAGAGAGUCCAAUGCUGACUGCAUCUAGAAAAGGUCUCCCAUGCGCUGGUCACUACUGAAUAAACCCUUGUUGAAUUCUUAACAGUUUUUUCGACUACAAGAGCUGAUUUUUCUACAACACUACUACUAUUGAAGGAGGAGAGAUUACUAGACACUAAUUAGGUGUCCUCUUUUAUCUGUGGAUUAAUUGUUGGAGUAGAGAACACAAUUUUGUAUAACUCAAAAUGGGUAAUUUUUUUACAAAGAACCAGAAAGAAAGAAAGUGCACUUCAGAGUCAAACCCAAUGAGGAUCGUGCUGCUGGGGAAAACAGGAUGGGGCAAAAGCAGUGCAGGAAACACCAUCUUUGGAGGAGGGACAGAGUUCAAGAUAAACAGUUCAGCCAAGUCCGAGAUGUACAAGUGUGAAGCAAAGACCAAGGACAUCAAUGGAAGAAAACUCACUGUAGUAGACACACCUGGAUUUUUUGACACAAACAUCCCUGAAGAGGAUCUGAAACCUGAACUAGUGAAAUGUAUUGUAGAGUGUGCUCCGGGGCCACAUGCCUUUCUCAUUGUGCUUAGAGUGGACCGCUACGGAUGUCAUGAGGAACAAGUCAUUGAAGAAAUUGCUAAAUGUUUUUCACCAGAGGCCUUCAAAUAUUCCACAGUUCUCUUCACUCACGGUGACCAGCUUGAAGGAAUAACUAUUCAGGAUUUUGUGAAAACGAAUGAUAAACUGAGUGAGCUUGUGGAGAAAUGUGGUGGCCGCUGUCACGUCAUUGACAACAAAUACUGGAACACCAAUCAGCAGAGUCAGUACAGGAACAACCAGUACCAAGUAACAGAGUUACUCAACACCAUAGAGGAGAUGGUGAGCGAGAACGGAGGAGAAUGCUACACCAACGAGUUGCUCCAAGAGGCAGAGAGAUUAAUACAAGCAGAGAUAGAGAGUCUUAGGAAGGAGUCAAUGGGAAAGAUGUCAGAGGAAGCGAUCAAUAAACAGGCCACUGAAAAUGUGUGGAAGAAACUCCUGAUCAAAUUAACAGGGAUAGCAACAGGUACAAUAGUGGGAGCUCUCCUUGGGGUUGCAGGGGCAGAAGCAUUCGUUCAAUCAGUACUUGGUAAGAUACCCACGAUAACUGAACUUGGGGCAGGAGGACUAAACACAGCAAUAACAGUAACCAUAGCUGGAGCAAUUGUAGCUGGGGGGCAAUAGGAGGGAAGAUGAUAGGAGCUGCUGCAGCAGAGAAUGCAGAGACACCAGGAGAGGCAGCAAAGAAAGCAGCUGAGGCAGUCUGAGGUGGAGUCAAACCCAAUGAGGAUCGUGCUGCUGGGGAAAACAGGAUGGGGCAAAAGCAGUGCAGGAAACACCAUCUUUGGAGGAGGGACAGAGUUCAAGAUAAACAGUUCAGCCAAGUCCGAGAUGUACAAGUGUGAAGCAAAGACCAAGGACAUCAAUGGAAGAAAACUCACUGUAGUAGACACACCUGGAUUUUUUGACACAAACAUCCCUGAAGAGGAUCUGAAACCUGAACUAGUGAAAUGUAUUGUAGAGUGUGCUCCGGGGCCACAUGCCUUUCUCAUUGUGCUUAGAGUGGACCGCUACGGAUGUCAUGAGGAACAAGUCAUUGAAGAAAUUGCUAAAUGUUUUUCACCAGAGGCCUUCAAAUAUUCCACAGUUCUCUUCACUCACGGUGACCAGCUUGAAGGAAUAACUAUUCAGGAUUUUGUGAAAACGAAUGAUAAACUGAGUGAGCUUGUGGAGAAAUGUGGUGGCCGCUGUCACGUCAUUGACAACAAAUACUGGAACACCAAUCAGCAGAGUCAGUACAGGAACAACCAGUACCAAGUAACAGAGUUACUCAACACCAUAGAGGAGAUGGUGAGCGAGAACGGAGGAGAAUGCUACACCAACGAGUUGCUCCAAGAGGCAGAGAGAUUAAUACAAGCAGAGAUAGAGAGUCUUAGGAAGGAGUCAAUGGGAAAGAUGUCAGAGGAAGCGAUCAAUAAACAGGCCACUGAAAAUGUGUGGAAGAAACUCCUGAUCAAAUUAACAGGGAUAGCAACAGGUACAAUAGUGGGAGCUCUCCUUGGGGUUGCAGGGGCAGAAGCA